RNAcentral lists this ribosomal RNA (253 nucleotides) under uncultured bacterium. RNAcentral describes it as "partial 16S ribosomal RNA". It matches the Rfam family "Bacterial small subunit ribosomal RNA", at positions 524 to 776 of the family's 1533-position model. The record is from RNAcentral.
UACGUAGGGUGCGAGCGUUGUCCGGAAUUAUUGGGCGUAAAGCGCGCGUAGGCGGCUUUGCAAGUCGGGUGUGAAAUCCCCAGGCUUAACCUGGGAACUGCAUUCGAGACUGCAUUGCUAGAGUAUGGGAGAGGGAAGUGGAAUUUCCGGUGUAGCGGUGAAAUGCGUAGAUAUCGGAAGGAACAUCAGUGGCGAAAGCGACUUCCUGGACCAAUACUGACGCUCAUGUGCGAAAGCGUGGGGAGCAAACAGG